RNAcentral lists this ribosomal RNA (292 nucleotides) under uncultured bacterium. RNAcentral's name for it is "partial 16S ribosomal RNA". It matches the Rfam family "Bacterial small subunit ribosomal RNA", at positions 505 to 796 of the family's 1533-position model. The record is from RNAcentral.
GUGUCAGCCGCCGCGGUAAUACGGAGGGUGCAAACGUUGCUCGGAAUUAUUGGGCGUAAAGCGCGCGUAGGCGGCCUGUUAUGUCCGAUGUGAAAGCCCUGGGCUUAACCCAGGAAGUGCAUUGGAAACUGGCAGGCUUGAGUACAGAAGAGGGUCGCGGAAUUCCCGGUGUAGAGGUGAAAUUCGUAGAUAUCGGGAGGAACACCAGCGGCGAAGGCGGCGACCUGGGCUGAUACUGACGCUGAGGUGCGAAAGCGUGGGGAGCAAACAGGAUUAGAAACCCUUGUAGUCC